CUAGCGACUUCAGAGUUUGAUCCUGGCUCAGGACGAACGCUGGCGGCGUGCUUAACACAUGCAAGUCGAACGAAGCAUGGAUUGGUGCUUGCACCGAGCCAUGACUGAGUGGCGGACAGGUGAGUAACGCGUGAGGAACCUGCCUAUAUCAGGGGGACAACAGUUAGAAAUGACUGCUAAUACCGCAUAAGACCACGAGAUGGCAUCAUCUAGGGGUAAAAGAGUUAUGUAUCGGAUAUAGAUGGCCUCGCGUCCUAUUAGUUAGUUGGUGGGGUAACGGCCUACCAAGACCGCGAUAGGUAGCCGACCUGAGAGGGUGAUCGGCCACACUGGAACUGAGAAACGGACCAG
RNAcentral lists this ribosomal RNA (351 nucleotides) under uncultured bacterium. Its description in RNAcentral is "bacterial SSU rRNA". It matches the Rfam family "Bacterial small subunit ribosomal RNA", at positions 1 to 334 of the family's 1533-position model. The record is from RNAcentral.